This 253-nucleotide ribosomal RNA is filed under the name uncultured bacterium. RNAcentral describes it as "partial 16S ribosomal RNA". It matches the Rfam family "Bacterial small subunit ribosomal RNA", at positions 524 to 776 of the family's 1533-position model. The record is from RNAcentral.
UACGAAGGGGGCUAGCGUUGCUCGGAAUUACUGGGCGUAAAGGGCGCGUAGGCGGCCUGGCAAGUGGAAGGUGAAAUCCCUCGGCUUAACCGAGGAACUGCCCUCCAAACUGCUUGGCUUGAGUCCGGGAGAGGUGGGUGGAAUUCCCAGUGUAGCGGUGAAAUGCGUAGAUAUUGGGAGGAACACCAGUGGCGAAGGCGGCUCACUGGACCGGAACUGACGCUGAGGCGCGAAAGCGUGGGGAGCAAACGGG